This 76-nucleotide transfer RNA is filed under the name Clostridia bacterium. RNAcentral describes it as "tRNA-Phe". It matches the Rfam family "tRNA". Rfam says of the family: Transfer RNA (tRNA) molecules are approximately 80 nucleotides in length. Their secondary structure includes four short double-helical elements and three loops (D, anti-codon, and T loops). Lineage: Bacteria; Bacillati; Bacillota; Clostridia. The record is from RNAcentral.
GCCUCUGUAGCUCAGUUGGUAGAGCGGAGGACUGAAUAUCCUCGUGGCGGUGGUUCGAUUCCGACCGGAGGCACCA